RNAcentral lists this long non-coding RNA (1083 nucleotides) under Homo sapiens (human). RNAcentral describes it as "long non-coding RNA NONHSAT226218". Lineage: Eukaryota; Metazoa; Chordata; Mammalia; Primates; Hominidae. The record is from RNAcentral.
CAGACAGGAACUGACAGGUGGCGUUACUGACGUUGGAACAGCCUUUCAGCACGAGACUCUUAGACUCAAUGUCUGUGAAUGCAAAGGAGACAGGAGGGACGCCACUCAGUCCUUUGUCCUUCCACCCACGCCUGCUCUUAGUUCUUCACCUGCAGCACGGUGGCCCGGUGACCAGCAAGAGCUGGUGUGCUCCUGAAGCCCAGGCAGGAAGAAGGAGCCUGCGUGUUCAGAGUCAAGAACACCACGCGGUAAUGGUAGAGAGACCCUGGAGGUCAGAGGCCUAGACUCCCACCGCCACCUGACCCUGGAGGAAGCAGACUCCUGGAGGUGAGUGGCAAGCCCAGGCUAAACAGUGAAGGUCAGAGCUGGACCUGGGACUCACAUCUCCCGUGUUCCUGUGUAGCUGGAAGAUGCAAAGGAUACAGCACAGAGCUGCCAAGACCCGGUGAGUGGGGGCCAGAGCUACAAGACAGAAGGAGCGCAUGGCCUGGACUCUGCAAUGAACUGCUCCAGCAAGGAAUAAACAUCUAUUGUAUUGAGCCAUAGGCUUUGGAGGUUGUUCUUUAACUUUUUAACUAGUUAAGGUUUCUAAAUUUUCUUAGCUUUAAUUUCUAAGACAGUGUAUACUGAUAGAUGGAGUCCACAUAAACAAAAGUUCUUUGGGGUCCUCAAUAAUUUUUAAGACAUAGAGUCUUAACAGAGGGCCUGAGAUCACAAGGUUUGAGAACUACUGAUGGCCACUAAUGUCCCUCUCACACAACCUGAAUCACUAAGAAAGAGGGGAGGCAUAGUGAAGUGCUGGUUUUCCCCAUUUGUUUCCUGUGUAAUUGCUGUAAGUCACAUGUUAAUGCCAUCCAGAUACUCACUGAAGUGCCUGGGCUUGAGAUGUCCACCCAAGGGAAAGGAGAACAGGUGAAAAAGGAAGAGCCAGGGCUGGGAGGACACAAGAAGCCCGCCUGCAUGGCCAGCACCCACCCAGGGCAUCACUGGUAUUGUUAACAGCAAUUAACUUACCUUAACUAAUAAAUGUAUUAACCUUUAACUGUUUGGGCAAAUGUUAGAAAUGUGUAUUUUACAAUGGUU